This 446-nucleotide ribosomal RNA is filed under the name uncultured bacterium. RNAcentral describes it as "partial 16S ribosomal RNA". It matches the Rfam family "Bacterial small subunit ribosomal RNA", at positions 338 to 795 of the family's 1533-position model. The record is from RNAcentral.
CCUACGGGGAGCAGCAGUCGAGAAUCAUUCACAAUGGGGGAAACCCUGAUGGUGCGACGCCGCGUGGGGGAAUGAAGGUCUUCGGAUUGUAAACCCCUGUCAUGUGGGAGCAAAUUAAAAAGAUAGUACCACAAGAGGAAGAGACGGCUAACUCUGUGCCAGCAGCCGCGGUAAUACAGAGGUCUCAAGCGUUGUUCGGAAUCACUGGGCGUAAAGCGUGCGUAGGCUGUUUCGUAAGUCGUGUGUGAAAGGCGCGGGCUCAACCCGCGGACGGCACAUGAUACUGCGAGACUAGAGUAAUGGAGGGGGAACCGGAAUUCUCGGUGUAGCAGUGAAAUGCGGAGAUAUCGAGAGGAACACUCGUGGCGAAGGCGGGUUCCUGGACAUUAACUGACGCUGAGGCACGAAGGCCAGGGGAGCGAAAGGGAUUAGAUACCCCGGUAGUC